AGAACGAACGCUGGCGGCAUGCCUAACACAUGCAAGUCGAGCGAGACCUUCGGGUCUAGUGGCGCACGGGUGCGUAACGCGUGGGAAUCUGCCCUUGGGUUCGGGAUAACAGUUGGAAACGACUGCUAAUACCGGAUGAUGACUUCGGUCCAAAGAUUUAUCGCCCAGGGAUGAGCCCGCGUAGGAUUAGCUAGUUGGUGAGGUAAAGGCUCACCAAGGCGACGAUCCUUAGCUGGUCUGAGAGGAUGAUCAGCCACACUGGGCUGAGACACGGCCCAGACUCCGUACGGGAGGCAGCAGGUGGGGAAUAGUUGGACAAGUGGGCGAAAGCCUGAUCCAGCAAUGACCGCGUGAGUGAUGAAGUCCGUUAGGGUUGUAAAGCUUACGUUUUACCCGGGAUAGAUAAUGAACAGUAACCGGAGAAACGUAAGCCCGGUACUAACGUCCGCGCCAGCAGCCGAC
This 462-nucleotide ribosomal RNA is filed under the name uncultured soil bacterium. Its description in RNAcentral is "bacterial SSU rRNA". It matches the Rfam family "Bacterial small subunit ribosomal RNA", at positions 26 to 518 of the family's 1533-position model. The record is from RNAcentral.